AGAGCGGCGGACGGGUGAGUAACACGUGGACAAUCUCGCCCCCCGGCCCGGGAUAGCCCAGGGAAACCUGGAUUAAUACCGGAUGAGACGGGACCGCGAUGGCGGGACCCGGGAAAGGCGCUGCGGCGCCGCCGGGGGAUGAGUCUGCGUCCCAUUAGCUAGACGGCGGGGGUAACGGCCCACCGUGGCGACGAUGGGUAGCCGGCCUGAGAGGGUGGACGGCCACAUUGGAACUGAGACACGGUCCAGACUCCUACGGGAGGCAGCAGCUAAGAAUCUUCCGCAAUGGGCGAAAGCCUGACGGAGCGACGCCGCCGUGAACGAAGAAGGCCGUGAGGUUGUAAAGUUCUUUUCGGGAGGGGGAACAACCGUGGCAGGGAAUGGCCGCGGGAUGACGUGAAUCCCGGAAUAAGCCCCGGCUAACUACGUGCCAGCAGCAGC
RNAcentral lists this ribosomal RNA (441 nucleotides) under uncultured bacterium. RNAcentral describes it as "bacterial SSU rRNA". It matches the Rfam family "Bacterial small subunit ribosomal RNA", at positions 92 to 518 of the family's 1533-position model. The record is from RNAcentral.